RNAcentral lists this ribosomal RNA (452 nucleotides) under Prevotella veroralis. RNAcentral's name for it is "bacterial SSU rRNA". It matches the Rfam family "Bacterial small subunit ribosomal RNA", at positions 28 to 466 of the family's 1533-position model. The record is from RNAcentral. Lineage: Bacteria; Pseudomonadati; Bacteroidota; Bacteroidia; Bacteroidales; Prevotellaceae.
GAUGAACGCUAGCUACAGGCUUAACACAUGCAAGUCGAGGGGAAACGGCGUUGAGUGCUUGCACUCUUCGGACGUCGACCGGCGCACGGGUGAGUAACGCGUAUCCAACCUUCCCAUAACUAAGGGAUAACCUGCCGAAAGGCAGACUAAUACCUUAUGUAAUUCUUAGAUGACAUCAGAAGAGAAUGAAAGAUUUAUCGGUUAUGGAUGGGGAUGCGUCUGAUUAGCUUGUUGGCGGGGUAACAGCCCACCAAGGCGACGAUCAGUAGGGGUUCUGAGAGGAAGGUCCCCCACAUUGGAACUGAGACACGGUCCAAACUCCUACGGGAGGCAGCAGUGAGGAAUAUUGGUCAAUGGGCGAGAGCCUGAACCAGCCAAGUAGCGUGCAGGAAGACGGCCCUAUGGGUUUGUAAAACUGCUUUUGUAUGGGGAUAAAAGUCAAAUCACGUGUG